ACUGCCCCUUGAGGCGUUGCUGUCCGACUAAGUGUCAGGAGGGGUGUAGCGUGCUGGGGCUGUCUACGCCGAGGACCCAGAACAGUGGGUACUUGGCGUGAUUGAUGGCUCUGACA
Molecule: small nucleolar RNA, 116 nt
Filed under: Salmo trutta (river trout)
Lineage: Eukaryota; Metazoa; Chordata; Actinopteri; Salmoniformes; Salmonidae
Description: Small nucleolar RNA SNORA17 (ENSSTUG00000028519.1)
Rfam family: Small nucleolar RNA SNORA17
About the family: snoRNA ACA 17 belongs to the H/ACA family of snoRNAs and is predicted to guide pseudouridylation of the 28S rRNA at positions U4659 and U4598. It shares the same host gene together with ACA43. NB This family has a high threshold value to exclude a large number of closely related sequences that do not appear to have conserved H and ACA boxes, and may be pseudogenes.
Source: Rfam by way of RNAcentral